Molecule: transfer RNA, 75 nt
Filed under: Puniceicoccales bacterium
Lineage: Bacteria; Pseudomonadati; Verrucomicrobiota; Opitutia; Puniceicoccales
Description: tRNA-Arg
Rfam family: tRNA
About the family: Transfer RNA (tRNA) molecules are approximately 80 nucleotides in length.
Source: RNAcentral
GUCCUCAUAGUUCAAUGGAUAGAACCGCGGUUUCCUAAACCGUUAAUCUCAGUUCGAGUCUGGGUGGGGGCACCA